AUUGAACGCUGGCGGCAUGCCUUACACAUGCAAGUCGAACGGCAGCACGGGGCAACCUGGUGGCGAGUGGCGAACGGGUGAGUAAUGCAUCGGAACGUGCCAUUGAGUGGGGGAUAACGUAGCGAAAGUUGCGCUAAUACCGCAUAUUCUGUGAGCAGGAAAGCAGGGGACCGCAAGGCCUUGCGCUCUUUGAGCGGCCGAUGUCAGAUUAGCUAGUUGGUGAGGUAACGGCUUACCAAGGCGACGAUCUGUAGCGGGUCUGAGAGGAUGAUCGCCACACUGGAACUGAGACACGGUCCAGACU
Molecule: ribosomal RNA, 304 nt
Filed under: uncultured bacterium
Lineage: Bacteria
Description: bacterial SSU rRNA
Rfam family: Bacterial small subunit ribosomal RNA
Source: RNAcentral